RNAcentral lists this ribosomal RNA (253 nucleotides) under uncultured bacterium. Its description in RNAcentral is "partial 16S ribosomal RNA". It matches the Rfam family "Bacterial small subunit ribosomal RNA", at positions 524 to 776 of the family's 1533-position model. The record is from RNAcentral.
UACGGGGGGUCCAAGCGUUGUUCGGAAUCACUGGGCGUAAAGCGCAUGUAGGUGGCUUUUCAAGUCAACUGUGAAAGCCCAGGGCCUAACCCUGGAAGUGCAGUUGAUACUGUUGAGCUUGAGUACGAGAGAGGAUAGUGGAAUUUCUGGUGUAGUGGUGAAAUACGUAGAUAUCAGAAGGAACAUCGGUGGCGAAGGCGGCUAUCUGGCUCGAUACUGACACUGAGAUGCGAAAGCGUGGGGAUCAAACAGG